This 637-nucleotide ribosomal RNA is filed under the name uncultured bacterium. RNAcentral's name for it is "bacterial SSU rRNA". It matches the Rfam family "Bacterial small subunit ribosomal RNA", at positions 607 to 1244 of the family's 1533-position model. The record is from RNAcentral.
GCUCAACCGAGGAAGUGCUUCGAAAACUGGUAAACUUGAGUGCAGAAGAGGAAAGUGGAACUCCAUGUGUAGCGGUGGAAUGCGUAGAUAUAUGGAAGAACACCAGUGGCGAAGGCGGCUUUCUGGUCUGUAACUGACGCUGAGAUUCGAAAGCAUGGGUAGCAAACAGGAUUAGAUACCCUGGUAGUCCAUGCCGUAAACGAUGAGUGCUAAGUGUUGGAGGGUUUCCGCCCUUCAGUGCUGCAGCUAACGCAUUAAGCACUCCGCCUGGGGAGUACGACCGCAAGGUUGAAACUCAAAGGAAUUGACGGGGGCCCGCACAAGCGGUGGAGCAUGUGGUUUAAUUCCAAGCAACGCGAAGAACCUUACCAGGUCUUGACAUACCAUGAAAAGCUUAGAGAUAAGUCUUUCCCUUCGGGGACAUGGAUACAGGUGGUGCAUGGUUGUCGUCAGCUCGUGUCGUGAGAUGUUGGGUUAAGUCCCGCAACGAGCGCAACCCUUAUUAUCAGUUGCCAGCAUUCAGUUGGGCACUCUGGUGAGACUGCCGGUGACAAACCGGAGGAAGGUGGGGACGACGUCAAAUCAUCAUGCCCCUUAUGACCUGGGCUACACACGUGCUACAAUGGUCGGUACAACG